RNAcentral lists this ribosomal RNA (330 nucleotides) under uncultured Fusibacter sp. RNAcentral describes it as "bacterial SSU rRNA". It matches the Rfam family "Bacterial small subunit ribosomal RNA", at positions 1051 to 1382 of the family's 1533-position model. Lineage: Bacteria; Bacillati; Bacillota; Clostridia; Eubacteriales; Fusibacteraceae. The record is from RNAcentral.
GUCGUCAGCUCGUGCGUGAGAUGUUGGGUUAAGUCCCGCAACGAGCGCAACCCUUGUGUUUAGUUGCAAACAGGUCAAGCUGUGCACUCUAGACAGACUGCCGUGGACAACACGGAGGAAGUGGGGAUGACGUCAAAUCAUCAUGCCCCUUAUGAUCUGGGCUACACACGUGCUACAAUGGCCGGUACAACGGGCAGCGAAGGAGCGAUCCGGAGCGAAUCCUAAAAAGCCGGUCCCAGUUCGGAUUGCAGGCUGAAACUCGCCUACAUGAAGUUGGAGUUGCUAGUAAUCGCGAAUCAGAAUGUCGCGGUGAAUGCGUUCCCGGGUCUU